GUAGAUUCCUGACUCAUUCAGCUAAUUGGCUUUCCUCAGUGUUCUUGACUCAUUUUGAUGCCCAGGGAAACCAUGACUUAAGAAAGAGAAGGAGAAAGUGUUGAUAAUGAAGAUUAAACCAAAAAGUGUAUCAUGAGCAUAUUUACUUCACCCGCACCCCCCUCCAGAGAACUCAUUGUUAAAAGCUACCAGCACACCACUGAUUUCAGACCUGAGGACCUCCUGGGCAAAGACACAGAGACCUUGAGGGGAAAGUUCAUGAAUGGGGGAAUGGAUAGAAGACCAGUCUGACCGGAAUAGAGAAUAUGGAAAACAUUGUGAAAGACUACUGGAAAGAUCUGGUCAUGCCACUCCUGUACUCGAGGUCCUUCCCUGGCUCCCUGAGCCAUAUCUGCCCACUGGACCCAGAUGGCUCUGGAGGAGAAAGUGAGGCUGAUGACUUUGGACAGCCUUUCCUCACUCAAAUCUAAUUCAAUUGCAAGUCAUGUCAUCAUCUUCCUGAUGUUAUAGUCCUCUUUGAGAAUGAAGGACAAACCACCACCACCGCAAUUGUGUCUUGGGUAAAAUUCAAACUUCAUAGCCUUAAAAUGGCAUUCAAGGCUUUCCACAAUCUUGUUAGCAUCUUGCCUGUCUGGCUUUUCUCAUGCCAGCUAAGUGGCAUAGUGGAUAGGAAGAUUUGUCUUCUUGAGUUCAAAUCCAGACUCAGAUACU
Molecule: long non-coding RNA, 711 nt
Organism: Phascolarctos cinereus (koala)
Lineage: Eukaryota; Metazoa; Chordata; Mammalia; Diprotodontia; Phascolarctidae
Source: RefSeq, a predicted model, not a curated record